Non-coding RNA from Oncorhynchus mykiss (rainbow trout), 1123 nucleotides. NCBI's taxonomy places the organism in Eukaryota, Metazoa, Chordata, Actinopteri, Salmoniformes, Salmonidae. The record is from RefSeq and is a predicted model, not a curated record.
ACUACUUCAAUGUUUUGAUGCAUGCCUUGGAGCUCCAGUAUCAAAAGUAACAUCACUAGUGCUUAUAGUGUCCAUAUUUUGUCUCUUCAGAUAAUUAAGGACGUUUUAUGGAAAAGAAAUAGGGGGGAAAAAUAUAAAAGUUAGGAAAAUUCAAGAAAGUAGAUAGAGGUGAAUAUGGGUUUUUGAUGUUCGUGUUAAGAUACUAUCCAGGAUACACUUCCACACUCUAUCCCCAGAUGGCAGCAACUGGAUCUAGGUGCUGAGCUUAGCCUUUAUAAGCACAUCAGCUGCAGCCAAUUAGGGUGAUCAUCAGUCCCAGCUGGAAUAGCUGUUGGUUUUGUUUGGGCAUGCCCUUGUCAACAUAUUUAUGUUUCGUCAUCAUCUGAACAAAUAAUAGUCCGCUUGGACUGGCUUACCAAGAGAUCAACAAGGAGCUGGCCCUGGACAUAAGGAGCGGAGACACUCCCCCACCACCAUGCCCCUCACACACUAUGCUGCUGUCUAGGAGGCUCUGCAUCCCUCCCAGCAUGAACUGCAGCAGCUCUGACAGGAGAAAGGACACGAGGGUUGUGAUUAUUAAGCACCAAACAGAAGAAAACUGACUUCAAGACCACUGGGGUCGGGGCCUGUUCCUGAGGGAGUUGUAUAUCAUCCGCCUUCAGCGUCGUGAAAGAAGAAAAAGGAUUCUACUAGUCUGUGGUAUGCAUGGGAUCUGACACUGUAGUGGUCUGACAUCAAGCAAUUGGGGAGGGCAGAGCUAUUAGAAGACCACAUAGCAUGAAGACCGUGAGAUCACUUUGAGCCAACCUAAGGAGUCACCCACCAAGCCCUCCUCCAGAACAAUAGGUACAGUCCCCCGACCAGAGCUUCCCCGGUGUCAGGUGGCAGCAGGGGAGUGGAUGACCAACUGGUAAUGACAGAAGACAAUUGCACACAAGAAGGCUUGUUUUCACUUUCUUUUAUUGACAUGUCUGAUUUAAUAGAGCAUGGUGAUAUUGUUAAAUAAAAUAUUUUUUUAUCUACAGUGGGGCAAAAUGAUUUGAUUUCUUCAAACCAAGCUGCUUACCUAUUGCAGAUUCAGUCUUCCCAGCUUGGUGCAGGUCUACAAUUUUGUUUCUGGUGU